Molecule: ribosomal RNA, 753 nt
Filed under: gamma proteobacterium SY213
Lineage: Bacteria; Pseudomonadati; Pseudomonadota; Gammaproteobacteria
Description: bacterial SSU rRNA
Rfam family: Bacterial small subunit ribosomal RNA
Source: RNAcentral
AGCGGUAGAGGGGUAGCUUGCUACCCGCUGACGAGCGGCGGACGGGUGANUAAUGCAUAGGAAUCUGCCCNAGNGUGGGGGAUAACCUGGGGAAACCCAGGCUAAUACCGCAUACGUCCUACGGGAGAAAGGGGGCUUCGGCUCCCGCUAUUGGAUGAGCCUAUGUCGGAUUANCNNNNUUGGUGAGGUAAAGGCUCACCAAGGCAACGAUCCGUAGCUGGUCUGAGAGGAUGAUCAGCCACAUCGGGACUGAGACACGGCCCGAACUCCUACGGGAGGCAGCAGUGGGGAAUAUUGGACAAUGGGGGCAACCCUGAUCCAGCCAUGCCGCGUGUGUGAAGAAGGCCCUCGGGUUGUAAAGCACUUUCAGCGAGGAAGAACGCCUAUCGGUUAAUACCCGGUAGGAAAGACAUCACUCGCANAANAAGCACCGGCUAACUCCGUGCCAGCAGCCGCGGUAAUACGGAGGGUGCAAGCGUUAAUCGGAAUUACUGGGCGUAAAGCGCGCGUAGGUGGCUUGAUAAGCCGGUUGUGAAAGCCCCGGGCUCAACCUGGGAACGGCAUCCGGAACUGUCAGGCUAGAGUGCAGGAGAGGAAGGUAGAAUUCCCGGUGUAGCGGUGAAAUGCGUAGAGAUCGGGAGGAAUACCAGUGGCGAANGCGGCCUUCUGGACUGACACUGACACUGAGGUGCGAAAGCGUGGGUAGCAAACAGGAUUAGAUACCCUGGUAGUCCACGCCGUNNCGAUGUCGAC